ACUCUGGUAUUGAUUGGUGCUUGCAUCAUGAUUUACAUUUGAGUGAGUGGCGAACUGGUGAGUAACACGUGGGAAACCUGCCCAGAAGCGGGGGAUAACACCUGGAAACAGAUGCUAAUACCGCAUAACAACUUGGACCGCAUGGUCCGAGUUUGAAAGAUGGCUUCGGCUAUCACUUUUGGAUGGUCCCGCGGCGUAUUAGCUAGAUGGUGGGGUAACGGCUCACCAUGGCAAUGAUACGUAGCCGACCUGAGAGGGUAAUCGGCCACAUUGGGACUGAGACACGGCCCAAACUCCUACGGGAGGCAGCAGUAGGGAAUCUUCCACAAUGGACGAAAGUCUGAUGGAGCAACGCCGCGUGAGUGAAGAAGGGUUUCGGCUCGUAAAACUCUGUUGUUAAAGAAGAACAUAUCUGAGAGUAACUGUUCAGGUAUUGACGGUAUUUAACCAGAAAGCCACGGCUAACUACGUGCCAGCAGCCGCGGUAAUACGUAGGUGGCAAGCGUUGUCCGGAUUUAUUGGGCGUAAAGCGAGCGCAGGCGGUUUUUUAAGUCUGAUGUGAAAGCCUUCGGCUCAACCGAAGAAGUGCAUCGGAAACUGGGAAACUUGAGUGCAGAAGAGGACAGUGGAACUCCAUGUGUAGCGGUGAAAUGCGUAGAUAUAUGGAAGAACACCAGUGGCGAAGGCGGCUGUCUGGUCUGUAACUGACGCUGAGGCUCGAAAGUAUGGGUAGCAAACAGGAUUAGAUACCCUGGUAGUCCAUACCGUAAACGAUGAAUGCUAAGUGUUGGGAGGGUUUCCGCCCUUCAGUGCUGCAGCUAACGCAUUAAGCAUUCCGCCUGG
Molecule: ribosomal RNA, 843 nt
Filed under: Lactiplantibacillus plantarum
Lineage: Bacteria; Bacillati; Bacillota; Bacilli; Lactobacillales; Lactobacillaceae
Description: bacterial SSU rRNA
Rfam family: Bacterial small subunit ribosomal RNA
Source: RNAcentral